AGAGUUUGAUCCUGGCUCAGAACGAACGCUGGCGGCGUGCCUAACACAUGCAAGUCGAACGUGAAAGUCCUUCGGGAUGAGUAAAGUGGCGCACGGGUGAGUAAUGCGUAGAUAAUCUGCCUGGUGAUCUGGGAUAACAUCUCGAAAGGGGUGCUAAUACCGGAUAAGCCCACGGAGUCUUCGGACUUUGCGGGAAAAGGGGGGGACCUUCGGGCCUUCUGUCACCAGAUGAGUCUACGUACCAUUAGCUAGUUGGUGGGGUAAGAGCCCACCAAGGCUACGAUGGUUAGCUGGUCUGAGAGGAUGAUCAGCCACACUGGAACUGAGACACGGUCCAGACUCCUACGGGAGGCAGCAGUGGGGAAUUUUGCGCAAUGGGGGAAACCCUGACGCAGCAACGCCGCGUGAGUGAUGAAGGCCUUCGGGUCGUAAAGCUCUGUCAGAGGGAAAGAAA
RNAcentral lists this ribosomal RNA (454 nucleotides) under uncultured bacterium. RNAcentral's name for it is "bacterial SSU rRNA". It matches the Rfam family "Bacterial small subunit ribosomal RNA", at positions 8 to 450 of the family's 1533-position model. The record is from RNAcentral.